CUCGUAGUUGGAUUUUGGGUCGGAGCGACCGGUCCGCCGUUCCGGUGUGCACUGGUGGCUUCUUCCUUCUUGCCGGGGACUGCGUCUGGCAUUCGUUUGCUGGGCGUAGGAGUCGGCGUGGUUACUUUGAGUAAAUUAGAGUGUUCAAAGCAAGCUUGUGCUCUGAUACUUUAGCAUGGAAUAACAUUAUAGGACUCUGGUUCUAUUUUGUUGGUUUUCGGAACCGGAGUAAUGAUUAAUAGGGACAGUCGGGGGCAUCCGUAUUUCAUUGUCAGAGGUGAAAUUCUUGGAUUUAUGAAAGACGAACUUCUGCGAAAGCAUUUGCCAAGGAUGUUUUCAUUAAUCAAGAACGAAAGUUGGGGGCUCGAAGAUGAUCAGAUACCAUCCUAGUCUCAACCAUAAACGAUGCCGACUAGGGAUUGGCGGAUGUUAAUCGAUGACUUCGCCAGCACCUUAUGAGAAAUCAAAGUCUUUGGGUUCCGGGGGGAGU
RNAcentral lists this ribosomal RNA (490 nucleotides) under Prasinococcus sp. RCC2356. RNAcentral describes it as "SSU rRNA". It matches the Rfam family "Eukaryotic small subunit ribosomal RNA", at positions 627 to 1124 of the family's 1831-position model. Lineage: Eukaryota; Viridiplantae; Prasinodermophyta; Palmophyllophyceae; Prasinococcales; Prasinococcaceae. The record is from RNAcentral.